Molecule: long non-coding RNA, 1786 nt
Organism: Lolium perenne
Lineage: Eukaryota; Viridiplantae; Streptophyta; Magnoliopsida; Poales; Poaceae
Source: RefSeq, a predicted model, not a curated record
GUGAUGACAAAACUUGGAGCUCCAUUUGGAUUGAUUAAUUGAAAAAGAAACGAAACAGAAGGUAUGGCUUACCCACUGUAUAUGAAAUAUAUGCAUUUGCAGUUUAUGAAAAUGUCCACAUGCAGUACAUGUUCAUUUUAGGAUGUUCACUCAUUCGAGAGAGGUUCACUUUUUUUAAUCUUGGAAGUUUGAAUCAUCUGAGGAGGAUUCCAACACUAGGUACAAGGUGCAACUAGGAGUAAUAGUUCUAUAAUUAAUGAAGAGUAGAGCCUGGACAGAGGCAGGGUAUUGUCAUUUAGAAAUGCAUGAUUGUGCCUACUUGAUUUCCUUGUUAACUGUAGUGAUGCCCGUUCUCCUCUACAUCUCAAUCAGAGGUACUUUCAAAAGCCUCACUACUAUAGAAAAGGCUUAAAGAGGUUAGAAUUAUGGCACAUAUGAAUUCACUAAGAGUUCUUAAACUUUGAUUUUGCAGGAGUUCUAUUUGUACACAUGUGAAGUCCAUCUUUCCCUGAAGCUGCUAAAUCCAAUCCCUGGUGUAAAGGAAGUGCAUCUCUAAGUUUGUUGCCUACUCUAUUACAGUUUAGAAAAUUUAAUUGGCUACUAAAAGAGAGUAAAAUCAGUGAAGAGCUACUGCUAUGUAUUUUUUGCUUUGAUUGAUUUGCUGGUUGGUUGGUAGUUGGUAAAAAAAAUCGUAGUAAGCAUCAAGAUAAUUCAGAAGUUCUGAACUUUUAAAAAAGUGAAGUCCAAUUCGUCUCAUGCUAGAAGUUCAUCUUGUGUUUGUCUCGCUGCAAUUUGUCAUCUGGUAGUGUGCAUGGCUGAACUAUCUUUAUUCUACUAGCUGUCCUGAUAUUCUGUAUUCACAAGCUAUAGGAUGUCAUGUGUGUGUGCCAAUUCAUCUAUUAUUCCUUAUGUACGAAAAAAUCACCUUCACAGGGCAUGAGCACUCAAAUUAUUCAUGUUUUACCUCAGGUGAUUUCAUCCGGGAAGUUCACCGGGCCCCCAUCGGGAGUUCACCGUGCUCAGAGCUCGCGCGCCGCCCCUGCGUACGCCUGAGUCCUACCCCCUUCCUAGAAGUGCAGUGUUUGGUUCAAAAGUUCUGUUAUUUGGGACACAAAUCUGACAGGCAACAACCUCACCCAUAAAAAUGAAAAAGAAGUAGUUCUAGAUGGACGCCAUGGAAGUUUACUGAUUCAUUUGACAGGAUGCAAAGCAGUACAGCUGUCGGGUGCUCUUGCUGCAAUGUUGCUGAUACGAACUGGAAUAGAUGUUGUUUUCAGCGGGAACAGUUCGCUUGCAUAUAAGUUCACUUCUCAUAUUGAUACAGCGACAUUGUUGCAGUUCACUCCCACUCGCAUCGUCCGAGCAUCUCAUGCAUAUACAACAAGGACUCCCUGAUCACAGCCAACCUGAUGAGGCAAUGUUGCAGAGGACGAGGACAUAAACGUGUUGCUAGCCCUACACUACUUCUUCAAGGCAGAUGCGGCUUAGCGGUCACUCCUUGUCCAUGGCGUUUUCAAGCCCAAAUGUCGCGCCAUGGUGGCGUCUGUUACAGGAGCAUCGCCAGGACGGGCACGGCGCCGGCUCAGUGAAGCUCACUGAUACUAAUUUUUGGAGUUAACUUCUCUAUUUGUGAAUUUCUUGUGUCCUGAUACUUCAUUUUAGACUAUUCCCACAAGAUGGAUUUUUAUUUGAGUCUACUAGAUGGAUUGUUUGUGAAGUUCGCUUCUGAUACUUGCGCUGAUGGGUGGAUGACUUGUAUUAAUUGUGUGAAGUUCACUAUUAUGCA